GAGCAUGAAGGCAUAGCACGGAUGCAGGCACAGACAGGCAGUACUGCAGAGAUGCAACCUCUGCCUACUAACCUCAAGUGAAAGUACCUCCUGCUC
Molecule: microRNA precursor, 96 nt
Organism: Gallus gallus (chicken)
Lineage: Eukaryota; Metazoa; Chordata; Aves; Galliformes; Phasianidae
Source: Ensembl